RNAcentral lists this ribosomal RNA (253 nucleotides) under uncultured bacterium. RNAcentral's name for it is "partial 16S ribosomal RNA". It matches the Rfam family "Bacterial small subunit ribosomal RNA", at positions 524 to 776 of the family's 1533-position model. The record is from RNAcentral.
UACGGAGGAUUCGAGCGUUAUCCGGAUUUAUUGGGUUUAAAGGGAGCGUAGACGGCAGUGCAAGUCUGGAGUGAAAGGCGGGGGCUCAACCCCCGGACUGCUCUGGAAACUGUACGGCUGGAGUGCAGGAGAGGUAAGUGGAAUUCCUAGUGUAGCGGUGAAAUGCGUAGAUAUUAGGAGGAACACCAGUGGCGAAGGCGGCUUACUGGACUGUAACUGACGUUGAGGCUCGAAAGCGUGGGGAGCAAACAGG